RNAcentral lists this ribosomal RNA (443 nucleotides) under uncultured bacterium. RNAcentral describes it as "partial 16S ribosomal RNA". It matches the Rfam family "Bacterial small subunit ribosomal RNA", at positions 338 to 795 of the family's 1533-position model. The record is from RNAcentral.
CCUACGGGAGGCAGCAGUGGGGAAUAUUGGGCAAUGGAGGAAACUCUGACCCAGCAACGCCGCGUGAAUGAUGAAGGUCUUCGGAUUGUAAAGUUCUUUUCUAAGGGAAGAAGAAAGUGACGGUACCUUAGGAAUAAGCCUCGGCUAACUACGUGCCAGCAGCCGCGGUAAUACGUAGGAGGCGAGCGUUAUCCGGAAUGACUGGGCGUAAAGGGGGCGUAGGUGGUUUGGCAAGUUAGUAGCGGAACUCCAAGGCUCAACCUUGGAACUACUACUAGAACUGUUGGACUUGAGUGCAGGAGGGGCAACCGGAAUUCCUGGUGUAGCGGUGGAAUGCGUAGAUAUUAGGAGGAACACCAGUGGCGAAGGCGGGUUGCUAGACUGUAACUGACACUGAGGCACGAAAGCGUGGGGAGCAAACAGGAUUAGAUACCCGAGUAGUC